GAACGCCACUGAUUACCUGACCUGACUGUCCUGAGGAGGUAAAGCUCUAUCACGUUAUAAAAGAAGCUUAGGAAAGUUUCUCACCUCAGUGAUGACGUGAGUGGGAUCCCAGCUUCCUGUGAGCUGCGACAGCAUCAGUUGGCUCUCCUGUUUGGGACACAAUUGAACCUAAUCAGCUGAAGCUAAAAAAGAAGAAAAGAAAAAAAAAAGAGCCCAGUUUGCAGACACCUUCCUCGAGCGCAGCGCUCCGAGAUCUAUCCGUUGCGCGUACGAGAGCACGCGAGAAGCAGAAGCUGAAACAACACAUCACCGAGGGCUGAGCGCAAUAAAAAGAAAGAAAAGAAAGAAAAAGUGCUGGUGGAACAAGCGGAGACAACCGCAGAUAUAUGCGGGAGGAAAGGAGGAGGAUCGAUUUAUCACGUCUCUCGCAUUUUGUGCCGUGUCCACCGGCGCAUGGUUUUUGAGGAGCUAUGAGGUCUCUGAACCACAAUGACAAUAUCACCGCCGGUCACCUCACACGGCUAAGGAGGACUUCAUCUAGGAUUUCACCCGAUUGACGGCGGCAAAGAGGCAGCUUUUUCAUACCUGACGGAGCUUUUGAUGAGCUCUGCACUGUUAAGACUUGUGAUUAACUGACUGAAACGAUUAUUUAGCAAACUAACAAGGUGGGUAAAAAUUG
Astatotilapia calliptera (eastern happy) is the source of this 679-nucleotide long non-coding RNA. NCBI's taxonomy places the organism in Eukaryota, Metazoa, Chordata, Actinopteri, Cichliformes, Cichlidae. The record is from Ensembl.